CGUCCGGUACUCCUCUCAAGUGUCGGAUGUGCUCUCGCCUCAAACCGGCGAACCAGACUUGGGAAGAGCACAAGAAGGACUGCCUUCGCCACCUGCAGGAGCAGAUGGCCCGACUGCAGGAGAAGACGGCUAGUCUAAACGCGAACCGACCGGCUAAUUAGGACGCUGGCAAGCGCGAGGGGGUGUUUUGCAAGCAGGCGGUAGCACG
This 208-nucleotide long non-coding RNA is filed under the name Volvox carteri. RNAcentral's name for it is "long non-coding RNA (VCAR_LNC003671)". The record is from RNAcentral. Lineage: Eukaryota; Viridiplantae; Chlorophyta; Chlorophyceae; Chlamydomonadales; Volvocaceae.